Molecule: ribosomal RNA, 409 nt
Filed under: Fusobacteriota bacterium
Lineage: Bacteria; Fusobacteriati; Fusobacteriota
Description: Fusobacteria bacterium partial 16S ribosomal RNA
Rfam family: Bacterial small subunit ribosomal RNA
Source: RNAcentral
UGGGGAAUAUUGCACAAUGGAGGGAACUCUGAUGCAGCAACGCCGCGUGCGGGAUGACGGCCUUCGGGUUGUAAACCGCUUUCAGCCAUGACGAAGCUUUUGUGACGGUAGUGGUAGAAGAAGCACCGGCUAACUACGUGCCAGCAGCCGCGGUGGUACGUAGGGUGCGAGCGUUGUCCGGAAUUAUUGGGCGUAAAGAGCUUGUAGGCGGUUUGUCGCGUCGAUAGUGUAAACACGCAGCUUAACUGUGUGCCUGCUGUCGAUACGGGCUGACUAGAGGAGGGUAGGGGAGAAUGGAAUUCCCGGUGGAGCGGUGGAAUGCGCAGAUAUCGGGAGGAACACCAGUGGCGAAGGCGGUUCUCUGGACCUUUCCUGACGCUGAGAAGCGAAAGCGUGGGUAGCAAACAGG